Molecule: ribosomal RNA, 301 nt
Filed under: uncultured bacterium
Lineage: Bacteria
Description: partial 16S ribosomal RNA
Rfam family: Bacterial small subunit ribosomal RNA
Source: RNAcentral
CAGCAGCCACGGUAAUACGGAGGGUGCAAGCGUUAUCCGGAUUUAUUGGGUUUAAAGGGUCCGUAGGCGGAUCUGUAAGUCAGUGGUGAAAUCUCACAGCUUAACUGUGAAACUGCCAUUGAUACUGCAGGUCUUGAGUAAAUUUGAAGUGGCUGGAAUAAGUAGUGUAGCGGUGAAAUGCAUAGAUAUUACUUAGAACACCAAUUGCGAAGGCAGGUCACUAAGAUUUAACUGACGCUGAUGGACGAAAGCGUGGGGAGCGAACAGGAUUAGAGACCCCCGUAGUCCCUGUCUCUUAUAC